GGCGGCGGUGGCCUAGUGGCUAACGCAUUUGCUUUUGAAACUAGAGGUCGUGGGUUCAAUUCCUUCAGUGGGCA
Non-coding RNA from Caenorhabditis brenneri, 74 nucleotides. The record is from the annotation of a GenBank genome assembly. NCBI's taxonomy places the organism in Eukaryota, Metazoa, Nematoda, Chromadorea, Rhabditida, Rhabditidae.